Molecule: ribosomal RNA, 197 nt
Filed under: Leiopathes glaberrima
Lineage: Eukaryota; Metazoa; Cnidaria; Anthozoa; Antipatharia; Antipathidae
Description: partial 28S ribosomal RNA
Rfam family: Eukaryotic large subunit ribosomal RNA
Source: RNAcentral
GCGGAGGAAAAGAAACUAACAAGGAUUCCCCUAGUAACGGCGAGUGAAGCGGGAUCAGCUCAAAUUUAAAAUCUCCGUUGCUUGCAACGGCGAAUUGUAGUUUCGGAAGCGCUUUCUAGGCGGACCGACCGCGCCUAAGUUGCUUGGAACAGCACGUCAUAGAGGGUGACAACCCCGUCUGUGGCGAGGCCGGCCGC